UGCGGGCAUCAUCUCUAAAUUAUAUAACGGUCGUAAGGUACGCCGGGGAUAACAGGUCAGAUAAUAUUGGGAGUUCUAAUCCUCGGAUUGUAUCAGCACCUCCAUGUCGGCUCAUUACUCCCUUGUUAUUGAACAAGAUUCAGUUAGGAACGAUAGUUCACCGUCAGAUGUAAUACGUGAGCUGGGUUAAGAACGUCUGGAGACAGUUUGUUC
The sequence is a non-coding RNA, 213 nucleotides long. It matches the Rfam family "Bacterial large subunit ribosomal RNA", at positions 2426 to 2636 of the family's 2925-position model.